RNAcentral lists this ribosomal RNA (526 nucleotides) under Priestia flexa. RNAcentral's name for it is "bacterial SSU rRNA". It matches the Rfam family "Bacterial small subunit ribosomal RNA", at positions 398 to 918 of the family's 1533-position model. The record is from RNAcentral. Lineage: Bacteria; Bacillati; Bacillota; Bacilli; Caryophanales; Bacillaceae.
GUCGUGGGUAGAAGCUUUCGGGUCGUAAAACUCUGUUGUUCGGGAAGAACUCGUUGGUCCUAAACUGCUCGUACCUUGACGGUACCUAACCAGAAAGCCACGGCUAACUACGUGCCAGCAGCCGCGGUAAUACGUAGGUGGCAAGCGUUAUCCGGAAUUAUUGGGCGUAAAGCGCGCGCAGGCGGUUUCUUAAGUCUGAUGUGAAAUCCCACGGCUCAACCGGGGAGGGGCAUUGGAAACUGGGGAACUUGAGUGUGGAAGAGAAAAGUAGAAUUCCACGUGUAGCGGUGAAAUGCGUAGAGAUGUGGAGGAACACCNAUGGCGAAGGCGGCUUUUUGGUCUGUAACUGACGCUGAUGCGCGAAAGCGUGGGGAGCAAACAGGAUUAGAUACCCUGGUAGUCCACGCCCUAAACGAUGACUGCUAANUGUUGGAGGGUUUCCGCCCUUUAGUGCUGCCUCAAACGCAUUAUUGACUCCGCCUGGGGAGUACGGUCGCAAGACUGAAUCUCAAAGGAUUUGACGGAC